Beta vulgaris subsp. vulgaris (sugar beet) is the source of this 920-nucleotide long non-coding RNA. RefSeq lists it as uncharacterized. The transcript is spliced from 2 exons. The record is from RefSeq and is a predicted model, not a curated record. Lineage: Eukaryota; Viridiplantae; Streptophyta; Magnoliopsida; Caryophyllales; Amaranthaceae.
CUAACAGCUCUAUCUAUUAGACGCUUCUCAUCCAAUUUUCUCACAAACCCAAACCCCAACCCCGUGAAAAAUUCGAAGCCCCAAAACCCUCAUCCUUCCCGUGAAACCCCAACUUAGUACUUCUCUCUCUCUUGCUUGCGGUGUUUCCCCCUUCUUCAGCUCGCCGGAGUACAAUCCCCUUUAUCGGAGUUUCUUCCUCCUCUUCUUACUGCUCGCUGGUUGUGCUGUUCCAUCUCUCUUCUUCUUCGCGCGUUGGUUGGUUGUGGCUGGUGUUGCCGCGUUUGUUGCCAUUGUAAGCCGGUGAACCGCGGUUGUCGUGUUACUGUUGGUUGUGGUUGGUGGUGCUGUCGCCGAUUCGUUUUCCACUCCCUUGUUCUAGUUCGCUGCUGUUGUUGUUGCCUUGCGCUCGCUGACGUCACCGCCGACGGGUGUUGGUGGUUCGUAGAGUAUCAAAGUAUCCUAAAUGUUUCAGGUUAAUGUCGUGAAUAAUCUUUUUGGAGUUGAAGAUUUUAUGUUCCGGAAGAAUAAUUGUAAUGUUAUACGUGAUAACAAAGUGAGGACGCUUGACUUUGUAAUAGUUAGUUAUCAAUCUUUUGUUUUAAUUCUUUGUAUUUAAGAGUCGUUAGUGCUCCUGAUUCUUUGUUGGUUGUUACUCCGCAAAAGCGUUGAGGUUGAUGAGCUUUGGGAUUUGGAAAUAUUUUAUAAAUUGAAAUUGUAACAGAUUCAUAUUAUUUCUCGCUUUAGAGUUGUCCUAUUUUCAAAGGAAAAUUUGCCAGAUUUCUCUAGAAAUGUAUGAGCAUAGAGUUUGAGAAUCAGGGCAUUAUUGUAAUAGUGAAUUAAUUUGGAUAGAUUGGGAAUUGAGUUCCCCACUCUCCAAUGUAGUUUAGUGAGUGUGAUGGUAAUAGUUUUGGUUAUCUUGA